Molecule: ribosomal RNA, 253 nt
Filed under: uncultured bacterium
Lineage: Bacteria
Description: partial 16S ribosomal RNA
Rfam family: Bacterial small subunit ribosomal RNA
Source: RNAcentral
UACGGGGGGGGCAAGCGUUGUUCGGAAUUACUGGGCGUAAAGGGCGUGUAGGCGGCCAACUAAGUCCGACGUGAAAUCCCCAGGCUUAACCUGGGAACUGCGUCGGAUACUGGAUGGCUUGAAUCCGGGAGAGGGAUGCAGAAUUCCAGGUGUAGCGGUGAAAUGCGUAGAUAUCAAGAGGAACACCAGUGGCGAAGGCGAGUCCCUGGACAAUACCUGACACUGAGGCACGAAAGCCAAGGGAGCAAACAGG